This 664-nucleotide ribosomal RNA is filed under the name uncultured cyanobacterium. RNAcentral describes it as "bacterial SSU rRNA". It matches the Rfam family "Bacterial small subunit ribosomal RNA", at positions 98 to 795 of the family's 1533-position model. Lineage: Bacteria; Bacillati; Cyanobacteriota. The record is from RNAcentral.
UCGGACGGGUGAGUAACGCGUGAGAAUCUAGCUUCAGGUUGGGGACAACAGUUGGAAACGACUGCUAAUACCGAAUAUGCCGAGAGGUGAAAGAUUUAUUGCCUGAAGAAGAGCUCGCGUCUGAUUAGCUAGUUGGUGGGGUAAGAGCUUACCAAGGCGACGAUCGGUAGCUGGUCUGAGAGGACGAUCAGCCACACUGGGACUGAGACACGGCCCAGACUCCUACGGGAGGCAGCAGUGGGGAAUUUUCCGCAAUGGGCGAAAGCCUGACGGAGCAAUACCGCGUGAGGGAAGAAGGCUCUUGGGUUGUAAACCUCUUUUCUUAGGGAAGAAAAAAAUGACGGUACCUAAGGAAUAAGCAUCGGCUAACUCCGUGCCAGCAGCCGCGGUAAUACGGAGGAUGCAAGCGUUAUCCGGAAUGAUUGGGCGUAAAGCGUCCGCAGGUGGCAAAUCAAGUUUGCGGUUAAAGGUUCUGGCUCAACCAGAGACAGGCCGUGAAAACUGAUUAGCUAGAGUAUGGUAGGGGCAGAGGGAAUUCCCAGUGUAGCGGUGAAAUGCGUAGAGAUUGGGAAGAACACCGGUGGCGAAAGCGCUCUGCUAGGCCAAAACUGACACUGAGGGACGAAAGCUAGGGGAGCGAAUGGGAUUAGAUACCCCAGUAGUC